This 368-nucleotide long non-coding RNA is filed under the name Anser brachyrhynchus (Pink-footed goose). RNAcentral's name for it is "lncRNA (ENSABRG00000009759.1)". Lineage: Eukaryota; Metazoa; Chordata; Aves; Anseriformes; Anatidae. The record is from RNAcentral.
UGUAUCAAACUCAACAGAACCUCCAGUGCACAGUUUUUUUUUCAGGGAUCCAUGUGUUAUCCGAGAAUCUCAAUUCAAUGAAUUAAGAAAGAGACAUAUCCACAGCCAUGGUCAAGUCAGUGCUUGUUAGGUUAUUCUCGCAUCGCAGAGUUUUUUGAGAUCCCUCUUACAUCUCAGCAAGCAUUAUUCAUGAGACUACAAAGCUCUUGUCUGCCAUGUGCAUUCAUUCAUGUUCAAAGCUUGCAAAGGAAUGCUACUUGGUUUCAUGUUCAAGGAAAUACUGCCAUAGGAUCAUUUGCUUUUUGUACUGACAAAGAGACAAAAUGUACCCUGUGACAUUAGGUCAGUUCAGUCAUUGGGGCCCUUGA